GAUUCUAGAGCUAAUACAUGCUAAAAGACCCGACUUUGGAAGGGUUGUAUUUAUUAGAUUAAAAACCAAUGCCCUCUGGGCUCACUGGUGAAUCAUGAUAACUUUACGAAUCGCAUAGCCUUGUGCUGGCGAUGGCUCAUUCAAAUUUCUUCCCUAUCAACUUUCGAUGUUUGGGUAGUGGCCAAACAUGGUUGCAACGGGUAACGGAGGGUUAGGGCUCGACCCCGGAGAAGGAGCCUGAGAAACGGCUACUACAUCCAAGGAAGGCAGCAGGCGCGCAAAUUACCCAAUCCCGAUUCGGGGAGGUAGUGACAAUAAAUACUGAUACAGGGCUCUUUUGGGUCUUGUAAUUGGAAUGAGUACAAUUUAAAUCCCUUAACGAGGAACAAUUAGAGGGCAAGUCUGGUGCCAGCAGCCGCGGUAAUUCCAGCUCUAAUAGCGUAUAUUAAAGUUGUUGUGGUUAAAAAGCUCGUAGUUGAACCUUGGGCCUGGCUGGCGGGUCCGCCUCACCGCGUGUACUUCGCCGGCCGGGCCUUUCCCUCUGUGGAACCCUAUGCCCUUCACUGGGUGUGGUGGGGAAACAGGACUUUUACUUUGAAAAAAUUAGAGUGCUCCAGGCAGGCCUAUGCUCGAAUAUAUUAGCAUGGAAUAAUAAAAUAGGACGUGUGGUUCUAUUUUGUUGGUUUCUAGGACCGCCGUAAUGAUUAAUAGGGACAGCCGGGGGCAUCAGUAUUCAAUUGUCAGAGGUGAAAUUCUUGGAUUUAUUGAAGACUAACUACUGCGAAAGCAUUUGCCAAGAAUGUUUUCAUUAAUCAGGAACGAAAGUUAGGGGAUCGAAGACGAUCAGA
RNAcentral lists this ribosomal RNA (848 nucleotides) under Ophiocordyceps australis. RNAcentral's name for it is "SSU rRNA". It matches the Rfam family "Eukaryotic small subunit ribosomal RNA", at positions 154 to 1012 of the family's 1831-position model. Lineage: Eukaryota; Fungi; Ascomycota; Sordariomycetes; Hypocreales; Ophiocordycipitaceae. The record is from RNAcentral.